Molecule: non-coding RNA, 130 nt
Filed under: Peptostreptococcus russellii
Lineage: Bacteria; Bacillati; Bacillota; Clostridia; Peptostreptococcales; Peptostreptococcaceae
Description: glmS glucosamine-6-phosphate activated ribozyme
Rfam family: glmS glucosamine-6-phosphate activated ribozyme aptamer
About the family: This entry contains a glucosamine-6-phosphate activated ribozyme that is found in the mRNA for GlmS. GlmS is an enzyme that uses fructose-6-phosphate and glutamine to generate glucosamine-6-phosphate.
Source: RNAcentral
UAACUCUAGCGCCAGGACUAGUUAAUAGUUGACGAGGACGAAGUUUAUCGAAUUUUCGGCGGAUACUUCGCGGGAUACCUGUUUCCGAAAAGUCUCUACAAAACUUGGAAGAAAUUCCAUCGACAAAAGA